RNAcentral lists this ribosomal RNA (304 nucleotides) under uncultured bacterium. RNAcentral's name for it is "partial 16S ribosomal RNA". It matches the Rfam family "Bacterial small subunit ribosomal RNA", at positions 506 to 807 of the family's 1533-position model. The record is from RNAcentral.
CAGCAGCCGCCGCGGUAAUACGAAGGGUGCAAGCGUUACUCGGAAUUACUGGGCGUAAAGCGUGCGUAGGUGGUGGUUUAAGUCCGUUGUGAAAGCCCUGGGCUCAACCUGGGAAUUGCAGUGGAUACUGGGUCACUAGAGUGUGGUAGAGGAUAGUGGAAUUUCCGGUGUAGCAGUGAAAUGCGUAGAUAUGCGGAGGAACACCGAUGGCGAAGGCAGCCCCCUGGGCCAACACUGACGCUCAUGCACGAAAGCGUGGGGAGCAAACAGGAUUAGAUACCCCAGUAGUCCCUGUCUCUUAUAC